UGGCGGACGGGUGAGUAAUGCCUAGGAAUCUGCCUGGUAGUGGGGGAUAACGUUCGGAAACGAACGCUAAUACCGCAUACGUCCUACGGGAGAAAGCAGGGGACCUUCGGGCCUUGCGCUAUCAGAUGAGCCUAGGUCGGAUUAGCUAGUUGGUGAGGUAAUGGCUCACCAAGGCGACGAUCCGUAACUGGUCUGAGAGGAUGAUCAGUCACACUGGAACUGAGACACGGUCCAGACUCCUACGGGAGGCAGCAGUGGGGAAUAUUGGACAAUGGGCGAAAGCCUGAUCCAGCCAUGCCGCGUGUGUGAAGAAGGUCUUCGGAUUGUAAAGCACUUUAAGUUGGGAGAAAGGGCAGUUACCUAAUACGUGAUUGUUUUGACGUUACCGACAGAAUAAGCACCGGCUAACUCUGUGCCAGCAGCCGCGGUAAU
This 432-nucleotide ribosomal RNA is filed under the name uncultured bacterium. RNAcentral's name for it is "bacterial SSU rRNA". It matches the Rfam family "Bacterial small subunit ribosomal RNA", at positions 96 to 524 of the family's 1533-position model. The record is from RNAcentral.